GUAGGUGGCAAGCGUUGUCCGGAAUUUAUUGGGGCGUAAAGCGCGCGCAGGCGGUUCUUUUAAGUCUGAUGUGAAAGCCCACGGGCUCAACCGUGGAGGGGUCAUUGGAAACUGGAGAACUUGAGUACAGAAGAGGAAAGCGGAAUUCCACGUGUAGCGGUGAAAUGCGUAGAGAUGUGGAGGAACACCAGUGGCGAAGGCGGCUUUCUGGUCUGUAACUGACGCUGAGGCGCGAAAGCGUGGGGAGCAAACAGGAUUAGAUACCCUGGUAGUCCACGCCGUAAACGAUGAGUGCUAAGUGUUAGGGGGUUUCCGCCCCUUAGUGCUGCAGCUAACGCAUUAAGCACUCCGCCUGGGGAGUACGGCCGCAAAGGCUG
Molecule: ribosomal RNA, 377 nt
Filed under: uncultured organism
Description: partial 16S ribosomal RNA
Rfam family: Bacterial small subunit ribosomal RNA
Source: RNAcentral